Molecule: ribosomal RNA, 497 nt
Filed under: uncultured bacterium
Lineage: Bacteria
Description: partial 16S ribosomal RNA
Rfam family: Bacterial small subunit ribosomal RNA
Source: RNAcentral
GAUGAACGCUGGCGGCGUGCCUAAUACAUGCAAGUCGAGCGAACGGACGAGAAGCUUGCUUCUCUGAUGUUAGCGGCGGACGGGUGAGUAACACGUGGAUAACCUACCUAUAAGACUGGGAUAACUUCGGGAAACCGUAGCUAAUACCGGAUAAUAUUUUGAACCGCAUGGUUCAAAAGUGAAAGACGGUCUCGCUGUCACUUAUAGAUGGAUCCGCGCUGCAUUAGCUAGUUGGUAAGGUAACGGCUUACCAAGGCAACGAUGCAUAGCCGACCUGAGAGGGUGAUCGGCCACACUGGAACUGAGACACGGUCCAGACUCCUACGGGAGGCAGCAGUAGGGAAUCUUCCGCAAUGGGCGAAAGCCUGACGGAGCAACGCCGCGUGAGUGAUGAAGGUCUUCGGAUCGUAAAACUCUGUUAUUAGGGAAGAACAUAUGUGUAAGUAACUGUGCACAUCUUGACGGUACCUAAUCAGAAAGCCACGGCUAACUACGUG